GCAUGUGUGCCUGUGUGACAAGUGGAUAUACUCAUGUGGAUUUAUUAAUUAUUAUUGUAAAACUAGAUUAAUUUAUUAUUGAUGAAAAAAUGGGAAAUCCUGAGGUAAAAUGUAGUUUUCCAUUGCUUGUUAGCUAUAAAAACUAAAAUAACCUAUAUAUUGUUAAAUAUUGAUAAAUAUUGGUCGGAGUGUGGACACAUUUCAACUGAACACCACAAACAUUAUUUUGAAUCUUCAGAGGAACUCAAGCUCAUAUUCUUGAUGUGAACAGUAAAGGGCAUCGCUCAAUGAGAAUAGCCUCCAUCCACCUCCGUAAUUUAAUUUCCCUAAUGUGUGUUCUCUCAGAUUGGAUACGGUGAAUGACUUCCAUUUAAUCUAAAUGACAAAAGCAUUAUGAGUGCUUUAAGAGAGUCUCCUCUCAGCGGACGGGCCGGGAUUCGAGGUGCGGGUGGAUGGAUGCUCUGAUGGCGUUUUAAUGGUGAAUUGCCCUUGGGUAAUUUUUUACCAUUGCUGUUACUUGAGCAGAAAACUUAUGAGAAGCUGACAUUUUUCAUCCUAACGCCCGUUUGUUAUUCGUUUAUAUUCAUAACUGCAAUUUUUCAGCCUUGCCGUGGGUGCUAGUGUCAUAAAAAUGAAUGAAAUCUGUAGGACGAUGAGCGGUAAGAAAGCAGACUGCAGUAGAGAUGUGUAGGUGGCUUGGACAGACAGGUGGACAGAAUAUCUGGAAAUGCUCACAUUAGACACAAAAUAUCCAUCUCUGUGCAGUUUGUCCUUUGCAUCCACUCUGAACCUGACCUGCAGUAUUGGGGUGAUUUUUAGGGUUGAUGGGGGAUACUGCUGGCGACGAAUGGUUUAAAUGAAUACAGAUGCCAUCAACAUAGACUGAAACUCUCUGCUGAUGUCUCAUCAUCUCAUCCCUAGAGCAAGGAAGGCAUCUGAGUCCAUGGCCGAGAUAAUGCUCCACUGAGAAACCCAAACUGUGUACCCACAUGUGAAAAGAUGAGAAUUUACCAGACCAUCUGUUGAGAGGUAAAAGCCAUGAAGCCGUACGAACAGGUGAAGAUUGACAGAUGUAGAGACAGGAGCGCAACAUUGGAUUUUUAGGAUGAGAAUCUGAACUCUGUGACACUGACAGUAAUGACGUUACACCUGUUCCCUGUGUAUUUAUGAGAUCUGAACGUCGUAAUCAAAAGUGAAGUGAAAGACACCUGGCGAUCGACAGAGAGGUGAGACUGAACACACGACCCCUCUCCUCUAAGUUUAUGGAAAUGAUCCGCCUCACAUCAAGCCCAAAUAAAGUCUCUCGUCAUUCCCAGCAGCAUUGAACAGAGCCACUCGUGAGGGACAUACUAGUUUCUUUCCUUCUUUAUCAUAAACCGCAGCUGGCACUCACCUCCGUUUCCCUGGGUGGGGAAUCCCUCUCGGUAAAGAAAUCCCUUCUCUUCUAUCCUGCGCUCUUUCUCUCUCUCUGUGUCUGUGUCAGUUUGUCUUGUAUUGCUCCUCAAACUCUUUUUCAGUGCUCUGGGUGGACGUUAAUGUGGAGUUCAUCCUGAUACAGCCGAGGUCCUGAAUGUGUCUAUCAAAUAUCACAGAAGAGCCGAAGCUGAAGACCUCACCAGUGAAUCCAGGAGCUCCAACUGAAGAGAGAAGGAGAGAGAGAAAGACUACAAUGAUAGACUGUACAAGCAGGAUCAACUUACAUUGUCUGAGCUAUUAAAUCAGACGGACCAUUCUGGACCGAAACCCUGUUGUUCACCAAAGACCUCUGCUUUUCUUCAAUGGAUUUGAGGGUCACCUGCAGACUGAAGGACAAUUCCAUUCUUCAGGCUGUCAGAAUGCCGAACUCAACCUGCACCCCUCUAACACACCCCACUAACACAAUGGGACCUGCGCCAGACACUUUGUGCAGCAUUGGUCUGCUCACUACCUCAUCCAGCAGUUAUCUGACCACAUUCAACUACCUCUUCUGUCAGUUUAAAUAAAUAACUACUCUCUGAUAUUUUUGACACUUUAUUAGACUGAAUAAGCUCUUUUGCCCUACAAUCAUUGUAUCUGCACUGUUUACUUCACUGGAUUCCACUCUGCCAUGUGCCUUGUGCUGCUUUACUUAUCUUUUUACAUGACCUAUUUGUAUAGUUGUACUUUAUAU
Carassius gibelio (silver crucian carp) is the source of this 2149-nucleotide long non-coding RNA. RefSeq lists it as uncharacterized. The transcript has 6 exons. The record is from RefSeq and is a predicted model, not a curated record. NCBI's taxonomy places the organism in Eukaryota, Metazoa, Chordata, Actinopteri, Cypriniformes, Cyprinidae.